This 1366-nucleotide ribosomal RNA is filed under the name uncultured bacterium. RNAcentral's name for it is "bacterial SSU rRNA". It matches the Rfam family "Bacterial small subunit ribosomal RNA". The record is from RNAcentral.
GAGUUUGAUCCUGGCUCAGAAUGAACGCUGGCGGCGUGCCUAAGACAUGCAAGUCGCACGAGAUAGUAGCUUCGGCUAUGUGUAAAGUGGCGCACGGGUGAGUACAACUUAGGUAAUGUGCCUGCUCGCUGAGAAUAACCAGGCGAAAGCUUGGCUAAUACUGAAUACCCCGGCAGGAACUGCGGUUCUUUUCGGGAAAGCCGCAAGGCGCGAGUAGAGCAGCCUGAGUCCCAUUAGCUAGUUGGUGAGGUAACGGCUCACAAAGGCGACGAUGGGUAGCUGGUCUGAGAGGAUGAUCAGCCACACUGGAACUGGAAUACGGUCCAGACUCCUACGGGAGGCAGCAGUUAGGAAUUUUGCGCAAUGGGGGAAACCCUGACGCAGCAACGCCGCGUGAAGGAUGAAGGCCUUCGGGUUGUAAACUUCUUUUAGUAGGGACGAAAAAAAUGACGGUACCUGCAGAAAAAGCACCGGCUAACUCUGUGCCAGCAGCCGCGGUAAUACAGAGGGUGCGAGCGUUAUUCGGAUUCAUUGGGCGUAAAGCGCAUGUAGGCGGUUUGAUAAGUUUGAUGUGAAAUCCCAGAGCUCAAAUCUGGAAGUGCAUUGAAUACUGUCGAACUAGAGUAUAGGAGAGGAGAGCGGAAUUUCUGGUGUAGAGGUGAAAUUCGUAGAUAUCAGAAGGAACAACAGUGGCGAAGGCGGCUCUCUGGACUAUCACUGACGCUGAGAUGCGAAAGCGUGGGGAGCAAACAGGAUUAGAUACCCUGGUAGUCCACGCUGUAAACGAUGGGUACUAGAUAUCGGGAGCUCUUACUCUCUCGGUGUCGCAGCUAACGCGUUAAGUACCCCGCCUGGGAAGUACGGCCGCAAGGUUAAAACUCAAAGAAAUUGACGGGGGCCCGCACAAGCGGUGGAGUAUGUGGUUUAAUUCGAUGCAACGCGAAGGACCUUACCUAGGCUUGACAUCCCGCGCUACCCUAUGAAAGUAGGGGUUCCCUUCGGGGACGCGGUGACAGGUGCUGCAUGGCUGUCGUCAGCUCGUGUCGUGAGAUGUUGGGUUAAGUCCCGCAACGAGCGCAACCCUUGCUAUUAGUUGCCAGUAUUAAGUUAGGCACUCUAAUAGGACCGCUAGCCGAUAAGGCAGAGGAAGGUGGGGAUGACGUCAAGUCCGCAUGGCCCUUACGCCUAGGGCCACACACGUACUACAAUGGCCAAUACAAAGCGUCGCAAGACCGUGAGGUGGAGCUAAUCGCAUAAAGUUGGUCUCAGUUCGGAUUGGAGUCUGCAACUCGACUCCAUGAAGUUGGAAUCGCUAGUAAUCGCGGAUCAGCAUGCCGCGGUGAUACGUUCCCGGCCUUGCACACAC